UUUGUAUAAUGGGUCAGCGACUUAUAUUCUGUAGCAAGGUUAACCGAAUAGGGGAGCCGGAGGGAAACCGAGUCUUAAUUGGGCGUUAAGUUGCAGGGUAUAGACCCGAAACCCGGUGAUCUAGCCAUGGGCAGGUUGAAGGUUGGGUAACACUAACUGGAGGACCGAACCGACUAAUGUUGAAAAAUUAGCGGAUGACCUGUGGCUGGGGGUGAAAGGCCAAUCAAACCGGGAGAUAGCUGGUUCUCCCCGAAAGCUAUUUAGGUAGCGCCUCGUGAAUUCAUCUCCGGGGGUAGAGCACUGUUUCGGCUAGGGGGCCAUCCCGGCUUACCAACCCGAUGCAAACUGCGAAUACCGGAGAAUGUUAUCACGGGAGACACACGGCGGGUGCUAACGUCCGUCGUGAAGAGGGAAACAACCCAGACCGCCAGCUAAGGUCCCAAAGUCAUGGUUAAGUGGGAAACGAUGUGGGAAGGCCCAGACAGCCAGGAUGUUGGCUUAGAAGCAGCCAUCAUUUAAAGAAAGCGUAAUAGCUCACUGGUCGAGUCGGCCUGCGCGGAAGAUGUAACGGGGCUAAACCAUGCACCGAAGCUGCGGCAGCGACACUGUGUGUUGUUGGGUAGGGGAGCGUUCUGUAAGCCUGUGAAGGUGUGUCGUGAGGCAUGCUGGAGGUAUCAGAAGUGCGAAUGCUGACAUAAGUAACGAUAAAGCGGGUGAAAAGCCCGCUCGCCGGAAGACCAAGGGUUCCUGUCCAACGUUAAUCGGGGCAGGGUGAGUCGACCCCUAAGGCGAGGCCGAAAGGCGUAGUCGAUGGGAAACGGGUUAAUAUUCCCGUACUUGGUGUUACUGCGAAGGGGGGACGGAGAAGGCUAUGUUGGCCGGGCGACGGUUGUCCCGGUUUAAGCGUGUAGGUGUGUGUUCCAGGUAAAUCCGGUUCACUUUAACACUGAGGCGUGACGACGAGGCACUACGGUGCUGAAGCAACAAAUGCCCUGCUUCCAGGAAAAGCCUCUAAGCAUCAGGUAACAUCAAAUCGUACCCCAAACCGACACAGGUGGUCAGGUAGAGAAUACCAAGGCGCUUGAGAGAACUCGGGUGAAGGAACUAGGCAAAAUGGUGCCGUAACUUCGGGAGAAGGCACGCUGACACGUAGGUGAAGUGAUUUACUCAUGGAGCUGAAGUCAGUCGAAGAUACCAGCUGGCUGCAACUGUUUAUUAAAAACACAGCACUGUGCAAACACGAAAGUGGACGUAUACGGUGUGACGCCUGCCCGGUGCCGGAAGGUUAAUUGAUGGGGUCAGCGCAAGCGAAGCUCCUGAUCGAAGCCCCGGUAAACGGCGGCCGUAACUAUAACGGUCCUAAGGUAGCGAAAUUCCUUGUCGGGUAAGUUCCGACCUGCACGAAUGGCGUAAUGAUGGCCAGGCUGUCUCCACCCGAGACUCAGUGAAAUUGAACUCGCUGUGAAGAUGCAGUGUACCCGCGGCAAGACGGAAAGACCCCGUGAACCUUUACUAUAGCUUGACACUGAACAUUGAGCCUUGAUGUGUAGGAUAGGUGGGAGGCUUUGAAGUGUGGACGCCAGUCUGCAUGGAGCCGACCUUGAAAUACCACCCUUUAAUGUUUGAUGUUCUAACGUGGACCCGUUACCCGGGUUGCGGACAGUGUCUGGUGGGUAGUUUGACUGGGGCGGUCUCCUCCUAAAGAGUAACGGAGGAGCACGAAGGUUGGCUAAUCCUGGUCGGACAUCAGGAGGUUAGUGCAAUGGCAUAAGCCAGCUUGACUGCGAGCGUGACGGCGCGAGCAGGUGCGAAAGCAGGUCAUAGUGAUCCGGUGGUUCUGAAUGGAAGGGCCAUCGCUCAACGGAUAAAAGGUACUCCGGGGAUAACAGGCUGAUACCGCCCAAGAGUUCAUAUCGACGGCGGUGUUUGGCACCUCGAUGUCGGCUCAUCACAUCCUGGGGCUGAAGUAGGUCCCAAGGGUAUGGCUGUUCGCCAUUUAAAGUGGUACGCGAGCUGGGUUUAGAACGUCGUGAGACAGUUCGGUCCCUAUCUGCCGUGGGCGCUGGAGAACUGAGGGGGGCUGCUCCUAGUACGAGAGGACCGGAGUGGACGCAUCACUGGUGUUCGGGUUGUCAUGCCAAUGGCACUGCCCGGUAGCUAAAUGCGGAAGAGAUAAGUGCUGAAAGCAUCUAAGCACGAAACUUGCCCCGA
RNAcentral lists this ribosomal RNA (2211 nucleotides) under Salmonella enterica. Its description in RNAcentral is "partial 23S ribosomal RNA". It matches the Rfam family "Bacterial large subunit ribosomal RNA", at positions 607 to 2802 of the family's 2925-position model. The record is from RNAcentral. Lineage: Bacteria; Pseudomonadati; Pseudomonadota; Gammaproteobacteria; Enterobacterales; Enterobacteriaceae.